AAAUAGUGUUGGAUUUAAUUUGGGUUUCAAUUACUAUAUUAUUCCCAAUUUUAUGUGAAAUUACCAAUAUGCCCCUAACCCUAAUUAUUUUGAAAAAGAAAUGAAACCCUAAAACCCUACCCGGUAACCCGUUGCUCCCCCAUGCCCCAGCAGCCAUAACACACACGGUUUUCUUCCUCUCUUUCCAAGAAAAGGGAAGGAGCAGAGGCAGAAAAAUGAAAUUUAGGGAGAAGGAAGGAGGGUUUGCCGGCGUGGAGGGGGAAGGGGGCUCACCGCACCGCUAGUCGUCCUCACCACAAGCUGCGUUCCACAGCCGCCCGUCGCAUCCUCCCUGUGCCGUCCUUCACGCCAUCGCCGCCGUUGCUAGCCGAAGGGAGAAGAAGGAUCUGUCCGCGCCGUCACCAUGCGGUAGCUGAGCUAUGCCAUCGCCGCCAUCUUGCCUCUGCCGGCGAGCACGAAGAGAGAGGGAAAUGGGAGUUUGCACAGCAGAGAGGGAGAGCGCGACAGGGGAGACCAUCGCCGCCUGGAUCGCCGUCGUCGGGCCUCCUUGCCGUCGCCAGUCCUGCUUGUUUUGUCGCCGGGAAACUCGUCGCCGUUGGGGUUGCACCGCCGCUGUUCCUGCUGUGGCUGGUGUCGCACCAGAGAACCAUCAUCGCAGGUUGAGGCUAACCCUUUUUGCUGUCGUUCAUCGUUGCUGCAGCUGACUUGCGGCUGUUGGAUCUGAUCGGAGAGGUGGGUGGUGAUGGCGGUGGAUGUUGGUGCUGGUUAGCGCGUCACUGCUGCUGGCUGUUUUGAGCUGCUCUGCCGUCUCUGCCACCGGAUAAUGUAGCUUAGUCGCCGGAAAAGUUUGCCGUUGUCGUGAUCGGAAUUUGUCGCCGCUGCCGCUUGAGGUGGCUGCCGCUGAACCGGUUCAGAGACCGCCGCUAUUUCGGAUCAGCCGCUCUUUCUUCGGUUCGAGUUGUUGAGACUGUUGCGAAAGUGGCUUGGAGCUGAGGUUUUGGUUGCCGGUGAUUUCGAGUCGAGGCGGAAAGGAUUCUGUGACGCGUUUGGGCUAUGGUUUUGUGUUUUGAGGAUAUGGGCGCAGAAGUUACGAAGAAUUUAUUUAGUUAUUGUUGUGAUGUUCUGUAUUGUUUUGGAUUAUUAGUUAUUGUACCCUCGCCUUUAUCUUGAUAUAUUCUGUAAGAGGGAUAGGAAUUGUAUUGGUUACUGUUUGUAAUAUCAUUUAUAUAUAUGUAUGUAUAUAUAUGGAUGUGCUCUUUAUGAGUUUCUGUAAGUUGUAUGGUAUGUAUGGAUAUUCGUUGUAUAGCAAAAGUAGUUUUGGGAGCGGUAUUGCGGUUUAAAGUUUUAAACAGGCUCAUAUUUUAGUAUCAAAUAGCAUAAGUGUCAUCGUAAUGUCCGAGCUAUCAGAGUUGCGCAGCCGGAAGCGUGAGCUUUGGUAGUUAGGGUGUUACAUUAUGGUAUCAGAGCAGUUCUUCCUGUAGAGCCUGAGGAAUGGACUGACUAUGCUUCGAUUGCAUGCUCUGGGCGUUUGUCAUGUAUUAGGUCUUGUCGAAUGAUGAGAAUUAGAGCUUUAUGCACAUGACGAUCUAUUGAUUUAAUGCUGUUAGUCUCGCAUUGCAUAAUUCUUGGUAUUAAGUUUGGCCGGCUUAAUACUAGUGAAUUAUGUAUAUGAGAGCACUAAUGGGUUAUCAUAGAUGGUAUACGAGUUUUGAGUUAAGCGAAUCGCGGGUUCUGGGAACGUUGAAACUAUUUCUCGAGGCUAUUCAGUUGUGUGUUUUGGAAUUUGUUCGAGUCGACCUGUUCUUUCAUGUCCUAACUUGAAAUUCUUGUUUGCUACUCCUCUUGAAAAGUAGUUUGAUGUUUCUACUCUAUUCCUUUAUUCAUAUGCAUUCUUGUUUGAUCCUAAGUGCAUAUGCUUGUUUGAGAUCCUUGUUGUAUCUAUCUUUCUCUGUUUGAGUUCUUUUGAUUCACGUAUCCUUUGAUAUAGCUUUGAACUUGUCUUAAUGCACUGUGCCUUUUUAAGUCCGGAUUUCGAGUCCAUUCUUAUAGAA
Arachis stenosperma is the source of this 2051-nucleotide long non-coding RNA. RefSeq lists it as uncharacterized. The record is from RefSeq and is a predicted model, not a curated record. NCBI's taxonomy places the organism in Eukaryota, Viridiplantae, Streptophyta, Magnoliopsida, Fabales, Fabaceae. The transcript has 4 exons.